AAACUCACCAGGUCAGGACACGGUAAGGAUUGACGGACUGAAGGCUCUUUUCUCGAUUCCGUGGAAAGUGGUGCAUGGCCGUUUUUGGUUGGUGGAUCGAUCCGUCUGGUUAAUUCCGUUAACGAACGAGACCUCGGCACUCCGAAUAGCGCGGCGGACGUCGCGGCCUCCGGGCCGUCUUCCGCACGAGCUUCUUAGAGGGACCGUCCCCCGCCGGGGAAGGAGGCGCGAGGCAACGACAGGUCUGUGAUGCCCUUAGAUGUUCUGGGCCGCACGCGCAUUACACUGACGCGUCCAACGGGUGACUCCCGACCCGAAGGGGCCGGGGAAUCCGCAAGGCGCGUCGUGAUGGGGAUUGAACGUUGCAAUUGUUGUUCACGAACGAGGAAUUCCUAGUAGGCGCGGGUCAUCAACCCGCGCCGAUUACGUCCCUG
RNAcentral lists this ribosomal RNA (434 nucleotides) under uncultured eukaryote. Its description in RNAcentral is "bacterial SSU rRNA". It matches the Rfam family "Eukaryotic small subunit ribosomal RNA", at positions 1211 to 1655 of the family's 1831-position model. The record is from RNAcentral.